AGUGGUGAGAGUGGGCAUCCUUAUCUUGUUCCAGUUCUCAAGGAGAACAGUUCCAGCUUUUGUUUCUUCAGGAUGAUGUUGACUCUGUGUUUGUCAUAGAUGGCUCUUAUUAUUUUGAGGCAUUGUGGAGACAAAGUUGAAUAAACAUGGAAAUUUUACAAUACGUUUAAAAUUCAGUAGAUCAAAAAUAAGAUUUCAACAUCUGUUGGAGAUGAUUAUUCAACAAACUUCAAGGUAGAUUUCAUCAAAAUUAUGUAAAUACAACAAAAGAAAGUGACAUAUAUAAAUGAUAUUAACACAUCAU
This 304-nucleotide long non-coding RNA is filed under the name Pan troglodytes (chimpanzee). RNAcentral's name for it is "lincRNA". The record is from RNAcentral. Lineage: Eukaryota; Metazoa; Chordata; Mammalia; Primates; Hominidae.